UACAGAGGGGGCAAGCGUUAAUCGGAAUUACUGGGCGUAAAGCGCUCGUAGGUGGUGGGUUCAGUUGGAUGUGAAAGCCCCGGGCUCAACCUGGGAACUGCAUCCAAAACUGGUCGACUAGAGUGCAGUAGAGGGUGGUGGAAUUUCCUGUGUAGCGGUGAAAUGCGUAGAUAUAGGAAGGAACACCAGUGGCGAAGGCGACCACCUGGACUGAUAAUGACACUGAGGUGCGAAAGCGUGGGGAGCAAACAGG
This 253-nucleotide unclassified non-coding RNA is filed under the name uncultured Pseudomonadaceae bacterium. RNAcentral's name for it is "contains 16S-23S intergenic spacer region". It matches the Rfam family "Bacterial small subunit ribosomal RNA", at positions 524 to 776 of the family's 1533-position model. The record is from RNAcentral. Lineage: Bacteria; Pseudomonadati; Pseudomonadota; Gammaproteobacteria; Pseudomonadales; Pseudomonadaceae.